Molecule: ribosomal RNA, 484 nt
Filed under: uncultured bacterium
Lineage: Bacteria
Description: partial 16S ribosomal RNA
Rfam family: Bacterial small subunit ribosomal RNA
Source: RNAcentral
AUUGAACGCUGGCGGCAGGCCUAACACAUGCAAGUCGAGCGGAUGAAGGGAGCUUGCUCCUGGAUUCAGCGGCGGACGGGUGAGUAAUGCCUAGGAAUCUGCCUGGUAGUGGGGGAUAACGUCCGGAAACGGGCGCUAAUACCGCAUACGUCCUGUGGGAGAAAGUGGGGGAUCUUCGGACCUCACGCUAUCAGAUGAGCCUAGGUCGGAUUAGCUAGUUGGUGGGGUAAAGGCCUACCAAGGCGACGAUCCGUAACUGGUCUGAGAGGAUGAUCAGUCACACUGGAACUGAGACACGGUCCAGACUCCUACGGGAGGCAGCAGUGGGGAAUAUUGGACAAUGGGCGAAAGCCUGAUCCAGCCAUGCCGCGUGUGUGAAGAAGGUCUUCGGAUUGUAAAGCACUUUAAGUUGGGAGGAAGGGCAGUAAGUUAAUACCUUGCUGUUUUGACGUUACCAGCAGAAUAAGCACCGGCUAACUUCGUG